This 71-nucleotide transfer RNA is filed under the name Rasbora hobelmani (Kottelat rasbora). RNAcentral's name for it is "tRNA-Tyr". It matches the Rfam family "tRNA". Rfam says of the family: Transfer RNA (tRNA) molecules are approximately 80 nucleotides in length. Their secondary structure includes four short double-helical elements and three loops (D, anti-codon, and T loops). Lineage: Eukaryota; Metazoa; Chordata; Actinopteri; Cypriniformes; Danionidae. The record is from RNAcentral.
GGUAGAGUGGCCGAGUGUUAGGCGGCGGUUUGUAGCAUCGUGUACAGAGGUUAGAUUCCUUUUUCUAUUAA